RNAcentral lists this ribosomal RNA (410 nucleotides) under uncultured bacterium. RNAcentral describes it as "bacterial SSU rRNA". It matches the Rfam family "Bacterial small subunit ribosomal RNA", at positions 355 to 774 of the family's 1533-position model. RNAcentral also lists the same sequence under 1 other name. The record is from RNAcentral.
UGGGGAAUAUUGCGCAAUGGGCGGAAGCCUGACGCAGCGACGCCGCGUGGGGGAUGACGGCCUUCGGGUUGUAAACCUCUUUCGGCCUCGACGAAGCCUUCGGGUGACGGUAGGGGUGGAAGAAGCACCGGCCAACUACGUGCCAGCAGCCGCGGUAAUACGUAGGGUGCGAGCGUUGUCCGGAAUUAUUGGGCGUAAAGAGCUCGUAGGCGGUGUGUCACGUCGGCCGUGAAAACCUGCAGCUUAACUGUGGGCGUGCGGUCGAUACGGGCAUCACUGGAGUUCGGCAGGGGAGACUGGAAUUCCUGGUGUAGCGGUGAAAUGCGCAGAUAUCAGGAGGAACACCGGUGGCGAAGGCGGGUCUCUGGGCCGAUACUGACGCUGAGGAGCGAAAGCGUGGGGAGCAAACA